Molecule: ribosomal RNA, 253 nt
Filed under: uncultured bacterium
Lineage: Bacteria
Description: partial 16S ribosomal RNA
Rfam family: Bacterial small subunit ribosomal RNA
Source: RNAcentral
UACAGAGGGUGCGAGCGUUAAUCGGAAUUACUGGGCGUAAAGCGCGCGUAGGUGGCUAUGCAAGUCGGAUGUGAAAUCCCCGGGCUCAACCUGGGAACUGCAUUCGAGACUGCAUUGCUAGAGUAUGGGAGAGGGAAGUGGAAUUUCCGGUGUAGCGGUGAAAUGCGUAGAUAUCGGAAGGAACAUCAGUGGCGAAAGCGACUUCCUGGACCAAUACUGACGCUCAUGUGCGAAAGCGUGGGGAGCAAACAGG